This 506-nucleotide ribosomal RNA is filed under the name uncultured bacterium. RNAcentral describes it as "partial 16S ribosomal RNA". It matches the Rfam family "Bacterial small subunit ribosomal RNA", at positions 30 to 523 of the family's 1533-position model. The record is from RNAcentral.
AUUGAACGCUGGCGGCAGGCCUAACACAUGCAAGUCGAACGGUAGCACAGAGGAGCUUGCUCCUUGGGUGACGAGUGGCGGACGGGUGAGUAAUGUCUGGGAAACUGCCCGAUGGAGGGGGAUAACUACUGGAAACGGUAGCUAAUACCGCAUAACGUCGCAAGACCAAAGAGGGGGACCUUCGGGCCUCUUGCCAUCGGAUGUGCCCAGAUGGGAUUAGCUAGUAGGUGGGGUAACGGCUCACCUAGGCGACGAUCCCUAGCUGGCCUGAGAGGAUGACCAGCCCCCAUAGAACUGAGACACGUUCCAGACUCCUACGGGAGGCAGCAGUGGGGAAUAUUGCACAAUGGGCGCAAGACUGAUGCAGCCGUGCCGUGUGUAUGAAGAAGGCCUUCGGGUUGUAAAGCCCUUUCGGUAGGGAAGAAAUCUCUUGCUCUAACAAAGCAGGAGUUUGACUUAACCUACAUAAGAAGCACCGGCUAACUCUGUGCCAGCAGCCGCCGUAA